RNAcentral lists this ribosomal RNA (429 nucleotides) under uncultured archaeon. Its description in RNAcentral is "bacterial SSU rRNA". It matches the Rfam family "Archaeal small subunit ribosomal RNA", at positions 474 to 903 of the family's 1478-position model. The record is from RNAcentral.
AACCAGCUCUUCAAGUGGUCGGGAUGAUUAUUGGGCUUAAAGUGUCCGUAGCCGGUUUAGUAAGUUCCUGGUAAAAUCAGGUAGCUUAACUAUCUGUAUGCUAGGAAUACUACUAUACUAGAGGGCGGGAGAGGUCUGAGGUACUACAGGGGUAGGGGUGAAAUCUUAUAAUCCUUGUAGGACCACCAGUGGCGAAGGCGUCAGACUGGAACGUGCCUGACGGUGAGGGACGAAAGCCAGGGGAGCGAACCGGAUUAGAUACCCGGGUAGUCCUGGCCGUAAACGAUGCAUACUAGGUGAUGGCCCGGCCAUGAGCCGUGUCAGUGCCGUAGGGAAACCGCUAAGUGUGCCGCCUGGGAAGUACGGUCGCAAGGCUAAAACUUAAAGGAAUUGGCGGGGGAGCACCACAAGGGGUGAAGCCUGCGGUUC